This 311-nucleotide ribosomal RNA is filed under the name uncultured bacterium. RNAcentral's name for it is "bacterial SSU rRNA". It matches the Rfam family "Bacterial small subunit ribosomal RNA", at positions 28 to 334 of the family's 1533-position model. The record is from RNAcentral.
GACGAACGCUGGCGGCGUGCCUAACACAUGCAAGUCGAGCGAGGAGGAGGGAGCUUGCUUCCGAAUCCUAGCGGCGGACGGGUGAGUAACGCGUGAGCAAUCUGCCUCAAACAGGGGGAUAACGCAUCGAAAGAUGUGCUAAUACCGCGUAAGACCACGGCACCGCAUGGUGCAGGGGUCAAAGGAGCAAUCCGGUUUGAGAUGAGCUCGCGUCCGAUUAGCUAGUUGGUGAGAUAACAGCCCACCAAGGCGACGAUCGGUAGCCGACCUGAGAGGGUGAUCGGCCACAUUGGAACUGAGACACGGUCCAG